GACAUCCCGCUGACCGGCCAUGGAGACAUGGCCUUCCCUUCGGGGACAGCGGUGACAGGUGGUGCAUGGUUGUCGUCAGCUCGUGUCGUGAGAUGUUGGGUUAAGUCCCGCAACGAGCGCAACCCUUGUCCUUAGUUGCCAUCAUUCAGUUGGGCACUCUAAGGAGACUGCCGUAAUAAAACGGAGGAAGGUGGGGAUGACGUCAAAUCAUCAUGCCCCUUAUGACCUGGGCUACACACGUGCUACAAUGGAUGGUACAAAGGGCAGCGAAACCGCGAGGUGGAGCAAAUCCCACAAAACCAUUCUCAGUUCGGAUUGCAGGCUGCAACUCGCCUGCAUGAAGCCGGAAUCGCUAGUAAUCGCGGAUCAGCAUGCCGCGGUGAAUACGUUCCCGGGCCUUGUACACACCGCCCGUCACACCACGAGAGCUUGCAACACCCGAAGUCGGUGAGGUAACUCAUUACGAGAGCCAGCCGCCGAAGGUGGGGCAGGUGAUUGGGGUGAAGUCGUAACAAGGUAGCCGUAUCGGAAGGUGCGGCUGGAUCACCUCCUU
Molecule: ribosomal RNA, 553 nt
Filed under: uncultured Ureibacillus sp.
Lineage: Bacteria; Bacillati; Bacillota; Bacilli; Caryophanales; Caryophanaceae
Description: bacterial SSU rRNA
Rfam family: Bacterial small subunit ribosomal RNA
Source: RNAcentral